ACGAGUUUGAUCAUGGCUCAGAACGAACGCUGGCGGCAGGCCUAACACAUGCAAGUCGAGCGCCCCGCAAGGGGAGCGGCGGACGGGUGAGUAACGCGUGGGAACGUACCCUUUGCUACGGAAUAGCCUCGGGAAACUGGGAGUAAUACCGUAUGUGCCCUUCGGGGGAAAGAUUUAUCGGCAAAGGAUCGGCCCGCGUUGGAUUAGGUAGUUGGUGGGGUAAUGGCCUACCAAGCCGACGAUCCAUAGCUGGUUUGAGAGGAUGAUCAGCCACACUGGGACUGAGACACGGCCCAGACUCCUACGGGAGGCAGCAGUGGGGAAUCUUAGACAAUGGGCGCAAGCCUGAUCUAGCCAUGCCGCGUGAGCGAUGAAGGCCUUAGGGUUGUAAAGCUCUUUCAGUGGGGAAGAUAAUGACUGUACCCACAGAAGAAGCCCCGGCUAACUCCGUG
RNAcentral lists this ribosomal RNA (452 nucleotides) under uncultured bacterium. RNAcentral describes it as "bacterial SSU rRNA". It matches the Rfam family "Bacterial small subunit ribosomal RNA", at positions 1 to 507 of the family's 1533-position model. The record is from RNAcentral.